This 629-nucleotide long non-coding RNA is filed under the name Gossypium barbadense (sea-island cotton). Its description in RNAcentral is "long non-coding RNA (GBAR_LNC013218)". The record is from RNAcentral. Lineage: Eukaryota; Viridiplantae; Streptophyta; Magnoliopsida; Malvales; Malvaceae.
UGAUCUUGGAUCCGGCCAAUGGCCACCGUGCCGGACUCCUGUCGCCGGCGUCGGCGCCGCCGCGCACGGUGGCCGGCGAAGGCAAAAAAAACUUAUUUUCUAGAUCUCGACCCUCUGAGCCCGGAUCUAGCCUCAAAACAACUGAAAAUAAAGGGGAAAAGGCCGUUAUGCCUCUCUUCAAUCGGUUCCGUCACCGGAGAAGGAGUCUCCGAUGGCGAGAAGACGGAGCGACUCCCGGUGAGUUCCUUUUUCCCUUUUCUUUUUGUUUCCGUAUAUUAAAAUAGAAAAAAAAUAAAAAAAUAGGAGUAAACAACCUAAGUAAAUACCUAAACAGAAAAUAUAUCUUCUUGAAAAUGUUGUAUUUUAUUUGCUGAAUAUUUGUGAAAAAGAGACCUUUUUACAGAUGCAAAGAUCGGUUUUUUAAAACCGAUUCCCCCUCAUUUUCGUUUCUUACAAAUCGACUUUAUAGCCAAAAGAAAAAUAAAAUUUUGGUCUUGUCUCCUUCUGCUUCUGCUUGUGUUGCGUGUUUGCAGGGUGAUGGACGAGCGGCGCGACGUCAGAGGCAGGUGCGGAUGGGACGUAGCGAACGGCGGUGGCAGAGGAGUGGGUACUGCAGAGGUGUACGGCGC